GACGAACGCUGGCGGCGUGCCUAAUACAUGCAAGUCGAGCGCGGAAGGCGGGUACUUGUGCCCACGGGAUGAGCAGCGGAGGGGUGAUUAACGCGUGGUGAAUCUGCCUCUCAGCGGGGGACAAUAUUUCGGAACGAAUUCUACUACCGCAUAAUAUCUUUAAACUCAAGUUGCAAGUGUUAAAUAUGCAAUUGCAUCACUUAAAGAUGAUCCCGCGUUGUAUUAGCUAGUUGGUGAGGUAGAGGCUCACAAAGGGGAGGAUCCAUAGCCGCCCUGAGAGGGGGCGCGGCCAAAUUGGGACGGAGACACGGCCCACACUCCUGCGAGAGGCAGCAGUAGGGAACCUUUGGCGAAGGAAGAAAGUCUGACUGAGCAACGACGGGCGAGUGAAGGAGGUUGUCAGGUCGUAAAACUCAGUUGGUAGAGAAGAACGCUGAGGAGAGUGGAAAGCGCAGAAAGUGACGGUACCUACAGAGAAAGCGACGGCUAACUACGUG
Molecule: ribosomal RNA, 497 nt
Filed under: uncultured bacterium
Lineage: Bacteria
Description: partial 16S ribosomal RNA
Rfam family: Bacterial small subunit ribosomal RNA
Source: RNAcentral